CGAGGGGAGACGCAUUCGAGUGAUCACCAGGAGCGAACUUGGCGCCCGCAGCCUUGGGCCUGGGAGAGGAGGACAAAGCCAUGAAGGAAAAGCCUCACUGAAGAAGAGGAACCUAAGAGAAGCAGGUUCUGCUCUGAUGAACUCCCAUAAAGGCAUUCCCAUAAAGGUGUGGGCCUGAGUGAUAAUCUAGAUAUGGUACAGUUGACAUCAGGUAUAUGGCGGCAGCCAGAAAUUCAACUUUGUCCAUCAGCUCUCUGCACAACAGGAAAGAUGGUGACCUUCCAGGCUUAUCUGAGGUCCAAGAGUAACAUCACAAACACAGUAACUACACCCAGCCAAAGAAAAGCAUACCUGAAUCCAAGAGAGUAUUUACACUGGCUUCAGGGAUGAGGAAAUAAAGGAGUAAGUGAUUAGGAUCAUUGUUUUCCUUUCUCUUUGGUACAAAAUAAAUGAGCUUCCUUUCUUUCAUUAAAAAUAAAUGUUUAGGCCGGGCGCGGUGGCUCACGCCUGUAAUCCCAGCACUUUGGGAAGCCGAGGCGGACGGAUCACGAGGUCAGGAGAUCGAGACCAUCCUGGCUAACACGGUGAAACCCUGACUCUACUAAAAAUACAAAAAAUUAGCCGGGCGUGGUGGCGGGCGCCUGUAGUCCCAGCUAGUCGGGGGGCUGAGGCAGGAGAAUGGCGUGAACCCGGGAGGCGGAGGUUGCAGUGAGCCGAGAUCGUGCCACUGCACUCCAG
This 738-nucleotide long non-coding RNA is filed under the name Homo sapiens (human). RNAcentral describes it as "HSALNT0292000". Lineage: Eukaryota; Metazoa; Chordata; Mammalia; Primates; Hominidae. The record is from RNAcentral.